Molecule: transfer RNA, 74 nt
Filed under: Lepisosteus oculatus (spotted gar)
Lineage: Eukaryota; Metazoa; Chordata; Actinopteri; Semionotiformes; Lepisosteidae
Rfam family: tRNA
About the family: Transfer RNA (tRNA) molecules are approximately 80 nucleotides in length. Their secondary structure includes four short double-helical elements and three loops (D, anti-codon, and T loops).
Source: Rfam by way of RNAcentral
GCUGUAGUAGCUCAGAUGGUAAGGGUGUCUAGCUCCUGACUAAAAGGCCCUGGGUUCAAUUCCAGGUAGGGGCA